This 486-nucleotide ribosomal RNA is filed under the name Brevizacla molisae. RNAcentral describes it as "partial 16S ribosomal RNA". It matches the Rfam family "Bacterial large subunit ribosomal RNA", at positions 1831 to 2582 of the family's 2925-position model. The record is from RNAcentral. Lineage: Eukaryota; Metazoa; Arthropoda; Insecta; Orthoptera; Phalangopsidae.
CCUCUUGGUUUGUUUGGAGGUCGUGCCUGCCCACUGAUGAAUUGAAGGGCCGCGGUAUUUUGACCGUGCAAAGGUAGCAUAAUCAUUAGUCUUUUAAUUGUGGACUGGAAUGAAUGGUUUGACGAAAUAAACGUUGUCUCUUCAGUAGAUGAUGAAUUUCACUUUUGAGUUAAAAGGCUCAAUUGAGAAUUGGGGACGAGAAGACCCUAUAGAUCUUUAUUUUUGAUUUAUUUAGUAAUUUGUAGUUGUUUAAGGGGUUAAUUAAAUUAAUAAUUUUGUUGGGGUGACGUGAGAAUAUUAUAAACUUCUUUUUUAAUUUGCCUUGAUUGAUGGAUUAUGGAUCCUGUAUUAUGGAUAUAAGAUUAAGAUACCUUAGGGAUAACAGCGUUAUUUUAUUUGAGAGUUCUUAUUGACAAUAAAGAUUGCGACCUCGAUGUUGGAUUAAGAUGAAAUUUUGGUGUAGUAGCUAAAUGUUUUGGUCUGUUC